This is a long non-coding RNA of Poecilia latipinna (sailfin molly), 365 nucleotides long. RefSeq lists it as uncharacterized. The record is from RefSeq and is a predicted model, not a curated record. NCBI's taxonomy places the organism in Eukaryota, Metazoa, Chordata, Actinopteri, Cyprinodontiformes, Poeciliidae. The transcript is spliced from 3 exons.
CUCCUCUCUCUGCCCCCUCUCUGCAGCAGACGGACCAGCAGCAGGAAGUAGGCGGCUCAGCCAGCCGUUCUCAGCUUCAGUGAAACAUCGUCAGGUCAGAUCACUGAGAAGAACAAUGGAAGGAACAUCUCACUGUCUGAUCUUUCUGAUCCUCUUGCUGAGCUGCUCAACAGAUCCAGUCUCUCCAGCUGCUCUGACUGUGAGUCCCAGCAGAUCUCAGUUCUUUGAAAGAGAAAAAGUUUCUCUGAGCUGCUCUGAUGGAGGAACUGUGAGGAGAAACACAACUGGAGGAACCAGGACUGAAUGUGGAGAUGGAUGGGGGAGAUCAGCUGGUUCUACCUGCAGCAUCACCUUGUUCCCAUCAG